GCUCAGAUUGAACGCUGGCGGCAGGCCUAACACAUGCAAGUCGAGCGGUAGCACAGAGAGCUUGCUCUCGGGUGACGAGCGGCGGACGGGUGAGUAAUGUCUGGGAAACUGCCUGAUGGAGGGGGAUAACUACUGGAAACGGUAGCUAAUACCGCAUAAUGUCGCAAGACCAAAGUGGGGGACCUUCGGGCCUCAUGCCAUCAGAUGUGCCCAGAUGGGAUUAGCUAGUAGGUGGGGUAACGGCUCACCUAGGCGACGAUCCCUAGCUGGUCUGAGAGGAUGACCAGCCACACUGGAACUGAGACACGGUCCAGACUCCUACGGGAGGCAGCAGUGGGGAAUAUUGCACAAUGGGCGCAAGCCUGAUGCAGCCAUGCCGCGUGUGUGAAGAAGGCCUUCGGGUUGUAAAGCACUUUCAGCGGGGAGGAAGGCGAUAAGGUUAAUAACCUUGUCGAUUGACGUUACCCGCAGAAGAAGCACCGGCUAACUCCGUGCCAGCAGCCGCGGUAAUACGGAGGGUGCAAGCGUUAAUCGGAAUUACUGGGCGUAAAGCGCACGCAGGCGGUCUGUCAAGUCGGAUGUGAAAUCCCCGGGCUCAACCUGGGAACUGCAUUCGAAACUGGCAGGCUAGAGUCUUGUAGAGGGGGGUAGAAUUCCAGGUGUAGCGGUGAAAUGCGUAGAGAUCUGGAGGAAUACCGGUGGCGAAGGCGGCCCCCUGGACAAAGACUGACGCUCAGGUGCGAAAGCGUGGGGAGCAAACAGGAUUAGAUACCCUGGUAGUCCACGCCGUAAACGAUGUCGAUUUGGAGGUUGUGCCCUUGAGGCGUGGCUUCCGGAGCUAACGCGUUAAAUCGACCGCCUGGGGAGUACGGCCGCAAGGUUAAAACUCAAAUGAAUUGACGGGGGCCCGCACAAGCGGUGGAGCAUGUGGUUUAAUUCGAUGCAACGCGAAGAACCUUACCUGGUCUUGACAUCCACAGAACUUUCCAGAGAUGGAUUGGUGCCUUCGGGAACUGUGAGACAGGUGCUGCAUGGCUGUCGUCAGCUCGUGUUGUGAAAUGUUGGGUUAAGUCCCGCAACGAGCGCAACCCUUAUCCUUUGUUGCCAGCGGUCCGGCCGGGAACUCAAAGGAGACUGCCAGUGAUAAACUGGAGGAAGGUGGGGAUGACGUCAAGUCAUCAUGGCCCUUACGACCAGGGCUACACACGUGCUACAAUGGCAUAUACAAAGAGAAGCGACCUCGCGAGAGCAAGCGGACCUCAUAAAGUAUGUCGUAGUCCGGAUUGGAGUCUGCAACUCGACUCCAUGAAGUCGGAAUCGCUAGUAAUCGUAGAUCAGAAUGCUACGGUGAAUACGUUCCCGGGCCUUGUACACACCGCCCGUCACACCAUGGGAGUGGGUUGCAAAAGAAGUAGGUAGCUUAACCUUCGGGAGGGCGCUUACCACUUUGUGAUUCAUGACUGGGGUGA
Molecule: ribosomal RNA, 1469 nt
Filed under: Klebsiella pneumoniae
Lineage: Bacteria; Pseudomonadati; Pseudomonadota; Gammaproteobacteria; Enterobacterales; Enterobacteriaceae
Description: bacterial SSU rRNA
Rfam family: Bacterial small subunit ribosomal RNA
Source: RNAcentral